AAGACUAUAGACCUGCGGAGUACCUGCGGAGGGAUCAUUAGUGAACGCCCUCACGGGCUUAUAACUAUUCCAAACCUCUGUGAACCGCGCCCUUCGGGGCUAUUUUACAAACAUGGUGUAAUGAACGUCAUAUAUCAUAACAAAACAAAACUUUUAACAAUGGAUCUCU
Molecule: unclassified non-coding RNA, 169 nt
Filed under: soil metagenome
Description: partial contains 5.8S ribosomal RNA, internal transcribed spacer 2, and large subunit ribosomal RNA
Source: RNAcentral